RNAcentral lists this ribosomal RNA (253 nucleotides) under uncultured bacterium. RNAcentral's name for it is "partial 16S ribosomal RNA". It matches the Rfam family "Bacterial small subunit ribosomal RNA", at positions 524 to 776 of the family's 1533-position model. The record is from RNAcentral.
UACGUAGGUGACCAGCGUUGUCCGGAUUUACUGGGCGUAAAGAGCGCGCAGGCGGUCGUUCAAGUCGAGUGUGAAAGCCCCCGGCUCAACUGGGGAGGGUCAUUCGAUACUGAUCGACUUGAAGGCAGGAGAGGGAAGCGGAAUUCCCGGUGUAGUGGUGAAAUGCGUAGAUAUCGGGAGGAACACCGAUGGCGAAGGCAGCCUCCUGGGUCAAGACUGACGCUCAUGCUCGAAAGCGUGGGGAGCAAACAGG